Mauremys mutica (yellowpond turtle) is the source of this 1112-nucleotide long non-coding RNA. RefSeq lists it as uncharacterized. NCBI's taxonomy places the organism in Eukaryota, Metazoa, Chordata, Testudines, Geoemydidae. The record is from RefSeq and is a predicted model, not a curated record. The transcript has 3 exons.
GAGAGUUUUCUAACAAAAAAAGGUCCUUAUGCUGAAACUUUCCAUCCAUUAUCCGAAAGAGGAAGUAGCUGACAGGAUGAUUUCAUUUUCUCAGAACAUCUUGUGGAUUGGGAACCCAAAUUGUGGUGUACACAGAAGACACGAGGGAGCAAUGCCUUGAUUCAGAAAAACAACCCUAUUCAGAAUAGCACUUAAGCACUUGCUUAAUUUUUGUUUAGUUCCAACAUAUCACCAUGUGUGUGAAUUUUCUCUCAGGUCAGUGACCUUGGGGGUUUUUCACUUUCCUUUACAGUGGAGGUCUGGGUUGCCUGCCAGGUUCAUCUGUGUAUUUCUCAUUUAAAUCAUUUCCCUGCCAUUGCAGGGGCCUUGGGCACUAGUGAUGUACCUUGGUCCCUCUUAUUCCCUGUCUGUGGCACAUAAUUGUUUGGUUUUCUGAGUGCUGUAAUACCCUGGUCUAAUUUCAGUUGUUGGGUUUCAUGCGGAGGUGUCCUGUGAUAUACAGGAGGUCAGACUAGAUAAUCUGGUGGGUCCUUCUGGCCUUAAACACUAUGACAAAAAACAAACAAACAACCCAAACAAAAACAUUUUACGCUGAAAUUAAAAUUGUCAUUUAAUUUAAAAAAUAUUGAUUCAAACUGGAAAAUUUACAUUUUGAAUUGGUUCCAAAUUUCCAAUGGGAAAGCCGAAGUUUUUCAAAUCAAAGAAUUUUUGGUUGACAUUUGUUACAAGGAAAAUUUCAGCUUUUUUAUCAUCUCUACUUUUUAGUCUGAAUUAAACACAGCUCUGUUUAUUUUAAUACAUGUGGUUCCAGAUAUGAUACAUGAUCAUCAAUGCAUAUGUGUUCAAUGCCACAUUUGUGAGGUUUACUUCAUUACAGUAUAUGGUUCUGUGUUUACAAUAUGUGAUUCUAGAUUGCUCCCAACUUAACUUGAAGACAAUUUCAGUAAAAAUUAAAUUCAUGCAUUUCGUCUUGGUAGCUAUGUAUGUGAGAAUCUUCAAGUAUUAAAAAAUAGUUUCUAGUUAUUUGAGCAUUUUAAAAGUAUGAAUUGUAUAAUAUCUUUUCAUAAGUUGAAAACAGAACAAAAAUAAGCAAGAAUUUCAACAGGACAACA